GACGAACGCUGGCGGCGUGCCUAAUACAUGCAAGUCGAACGCUGAAGCGAGGAGCUUGCUCUUCUUGGGUGAGUUGCGGACGGGUGAUUAACGCGUAGGUAACCUGCCUGGUAGCGGGGGAUAACUAUUGGAAACGAUAGCUAAUACCGCAUAAGAUGGAUUAUCGCAUGAUACUUCAGUGAAAGGUGCAAAUGCAUCACUACCAGCUGGACCUGCGUUGUAUUUGCUAGGUGGUGGGGUAACGGCCCAUCAAGGCGACGAUACAGAGCCGGCCUGGUCGGGUGAAUGGCCACACUGGGACUUGGGCAAGGCCCAAAACUCUAAGGGAGGGAGCAGGAGGGAAACUUCGGCAAAGGACGGAAGGCUGACCGAGCAACGCCGGGGGAGGGGAGAAGGGUUUCGGAUCGGAAAGCUCCGUUGUAAGAGAAGAACGAGUGGGAGAGUGGAAAGUUCACACUGUGACGGUAUCUUACCAGAAAGGGACGGCUAACUACGUG
RNAcentral lists this ribosomal RNA (497 nucleotides) under uncultured bacterium. RNAcentral's name for it is "partial 16S ribosomal RNA". It matches the Rfam family "Bacterial small subunit ribosomal RNA", at positions 28 to 507 of the family's 1533-position model. The record is from RNAcentral.